UCGAGGGGCAGCACAUGAGUGGUAACACGAUGGUGGCGACCGGCGCACGGGUGAGUAACACGUAUGCAACCUACCCAUAACUGUGGGAUAACCCGUCGAAAGACGGCCUAAUACCGCAUGACAACUCUGAUCCGCAUGGUGAGGAGUUUAAAGAUUUAUCGGUUAUGGAUGGGCAUGCGUUCCAUUAGAUUGUUGGUGAGGUAACGGCUCACCAAGUCUUCGAUGGAUAGGGGUUCUGAGAGGAAGGUCCCCCACACUGGUACUGAGACACGGACCAGACUCCUACGGGAGGCAGCAGUGAGGAAUAUUGGUCAAUGGGCGAGAGCCUGAACCAGCCAAAUCGCGUGAAGGAUGAAGGUAUUAUGUAUUGUAAACUUCUUUUGUCAGGGAAUAAAGUGCGGCACGUGUGCCGUUUUGUAUGUACCUGAAGAAUAAGGAUCGGCUAACUCCGUGCCAGCAGCCGCGGUAAUACGGAGGAUCCAAGCGUUAUCCGGAUUUAUUGGGUUUAAAGGGUGCGUAGGCGGACCUUUAAGUCAGCGGUGAAAGUCCCCGGCUCAACCGGGGAAUUGCCGUUGAAACUAUUGGUCUUGAGUGUAGAUGAGGUGGGCGGAAUUCGUAGUGUAGCGGUGAAAUGCUUAGAUAUUACGAAGAACUCCAAUUGCGUAGGCAGCUCACUAGGCUACAACUGACGCUGAGGCACGAAGGUGCGGGGAUCAAACAGGAUUAGAUACCCUGGUAGUCCGCACAGUAAACGAUGAAUACUAACUGUUUGCGAUACACAGCAAGUGGUACAGUGAAAACGUUAAGUAUUCCACCUGGGGAGUACG
This 827-nucleotide ribosomal RNA is filed under the name uncultured bacterium. Its description in RNAcentral is "bacterial SSU rRNA". It matches the Rfam family "Bacterial small subunit ribosomal RNA", at positions 62 to 884 of the family's 1533-position model. The record is from RNAcentral.